UCGUAUGAGAAAAAAGGAGUACCAAUUUUUUUUGAAGUUUACAGUGACGAGAAACACAAAUUUGCAGAUGGAGUAAUUUUCGCCCUUGACCGAUGGAGAACUGGUUGUGGUAGUGCGAGCAAGGGUGGUGAUGUUGGCACUAGAAUGAGAGCACACACUUUAUAUGAUUGUGAGAUGUACCAGUAUACCACAUCGACCACCCAAUUUUGCGAGUAACGAUGCGCCAUAAUUUCAGUAUUUAUCGAUUAAGCAUACAACCAUUCCGGCUAGAAGACGGAAUUAAUUAGCUUUUAGGUUGCUCAUUUUGACCCGUUUAAAGACGGCCUUUUUUCGGGUUGAUCCAUAUAAAAACGCGUUGGCCAUUUAACCCGUUUAAGUGUUUUUUCCUUACUAUUUAAAUAAAUUCUAUUAUUUCUCGGUUUACUAUAAAAAAGUUCUUAUCUUUUCCUUUUCUAAGUGUUCGCACACAAUAAUUAGGGCUACUCACAACGCUGCUAGACAUCGAUGUUUUGAAAGCUUAUUUGACAUCAAAUCUUUUUUUGCUGAACAGACCUUCGAUUUUGAUCACUAUUGUUUCCUUAUCCGCCCUUGGAUG
This is a long non-coding RNA of Helianthus annuus (common sunflower), 595 nucleotides long. RefSeq lists it as uncharacterized. The transcript has 3 exons. NCBI's taxonomy places the organism in Eukaryota, Viridiplantae, Streptophyta, Magnoliopsida, Asterales, Asteraceae. The record is from RefSeq and is a predicted model, not a curated record.